RNAcentral lists this ribosomal RNA (274 nucleotides) under uncultured bacterium. RNAcentral's name for it is "partial 16S ribosomal RNA". It matches the Rfam family "Bacterial small subunit ribosomal RNA", at positions 523 to 796 of the family's 1533-position model. The record is from RNAcentral.
AUACGGAGGGUGCAAGCGUUACUCGGAAUCACUGGGCGUAAAGCGCGCGCAGGCGGUCUUUUAAGUUGGAUGUGAAAGCCUACGGCUCAACCGUAGAACUGCAUCCAAAACUAUUAGACUAGAGUGUGGGAGAGGAAGAUGGAAUUAGUUGUGUAGGGGUAAAAUCCGUAGAGAUAACUAGGAAUACCAAAAGCGAAGGCAAUCUUCUGGAACACUACUGACGCUGAGGCGCGAAGGCGUGGGGAGCAAACAGGAUUAGAAACCCGGGUAGUCC